UAGAGUUUGAUCCUGGCUCAGGAUGAACGCUAGCUACAGGCUUAACACAUGCAAGUCGAGGGGCAGCAUGGUCUUAGCUUGCUAAGGCCGAUGGCGACCGGCGCACGGGUGAGUAACACGUAUCCAACCUGCCGUCUACUCUUGGACAGCCUUCUGAAAGGAAGAUUAAUACAAGAUGGCAUCAUGAGUCCGCAUGUUCACAUGAUUAAAGGUAUUCCGGUAGACGAUGGGGAUGCGUUCCAUUAGAUAGUAGGCGGGGUAACGGCCCACCUAGUCUUCGAUGGAUAGGGGUCCUGAGAGGAAGGUCCCCCACAUUGGAACUGAGACACGGUCCAAACUCCUACGGGAGGCAGCAGUGAGGAAUAUUGGUCAAUGGGCGAGAGCCUGAACCAGCCAAGUAGCGUGAAGGAUGACUGCCCUAUGGGUUGUAAACUUCUUUUAUAAAGGAAUAAAGUCGGGUAUGGAUACCCGUUUGCAUGUACUUUAUGAAUAAGGAUCGGCUAACUCCGUGCCAGCAGCCGCGGUAAUACGGAGGAUCCGAGCGUUAUCCGGAUUUAUUGGGUUUAAAGGGAGCGUAGAUGGAUGUUUAAGUCAGUUGUGAAAGUUUGCGGCUCAACCGUAAAAUUGCAGUUGAUACUGGAUAUCUUGAGUGCAGUUGAGGCAGGCGGAAUUCGUGGUGUAGCGGUGAAAUGCUUAGAUAUCACGAAGAACUCCGAUUGCGAAGGCAGCCUGCUAAGCUGCAACUGACAUUGAGGCUCGAAAGUGUGGGUAUCAAACAGGAUUAGAUACCCUGGUAGUCCACACGGUAAACGAUGAAUACUCGCUGUUUGCGAUAUACAGCAAGCGGCCAAGCGAAAGCGUUAAGUAUUCCACCUGGGGAGUACGCCGGCAACGGUGAAACU
Molecule: ribosomal RNA, 902 nt
Filed under: uncultured bacterium
Lineage: Bacteria
Description: bacterial SSU rRNA
Rfam family: Bacterial small subunit ribosomal RNA
Source: RNAcentral